RNAcentral lists this ribosomal RNA (253 nucleotides) under uncultured bacterium. RNAcentral's name for it is "partial 16S ribosomal RNA". It matches the Rfam family "Bacterial small subunit ribosomal RNA", at positions 524 to 776 of the family's 1533-position model. The record is from RNAcentral.
UACGUAGGUGGCAAGCGUUGUCCGGAUUUACUGGGCGUAAAGGGCGUGCAGGCGGUCUGUUAAGUCUAGGGUGAAAGCUCCCGGCUCAACUGGGAGAGGUCCUUGGAUACUGGCGGACUUGAGGGAGGCAGAGGAAAGUGGAAUUCCAAGUGUAGCGGUGAAAUGCGUAGAGAUUUGGAGGAACACCAGUGGCGAAGGCGACUUCCUGGUCUGCAACUGACGCUGAGGCGCGAAAGCAUGGGGAGCAAACAGG